Molecule: ribosomal RNA, 254 nt
Filed under: uncultured bacterium
Lineage: Bacteria
Description: partial 16S ribosomal RNA
Rfam family: Bacterial small subunit ribosomal RNA
Source: RNAcentral
UACGUAGGGUGCGAGCGUUGUCCGGAAUUAUUGGGCGUAAAGGGCUCGUAGGCGGUUUGUCGCGUCGGGAGUGAAAUCCACUGGCUUAACUGGUGGCUUGCUUUCGAUACGGGCAGGCUAGAGUUCGGUAGGGGAGACUGGAAUUCCUGGUGUAGCGGUGAAAUGACGCAGAUAUCAGGAGGAACACCGGUGGCGAAGGCGGGUCUCUGGGCCGAUACUGACGCUGAGGAGCGAAAGCGUGGGGAGCGAACAGG